RNAcentral lists this ribosomal RNA (399 nucleotides) under uncultured bacterium. RNAcentral's name for it is "bacterial SSU rRNA". It matches the Rfam family "Bacterial small subunit ribosomal RNA", at positions 30 to 426 of the family's 1533-position model. The record is from RNAcentral.
AUUGAACGCUGGCGGCAUGCUUUACACAUGCAAGUCGAACGGCAGCACGGGGGCGAACCCUGGUGGCGAGUGGCGAACGGGUGAGUAAUAUAUCGGAACGUACCCGGAAAUGGGGGAGUAACGUAGCGAAAGUUACGCUAAUACCGCAUAUGCCCCUAAGGGGGAAAGCGGGGAGUUCGCAAGAACCUCGCGUUUUCGGAGCGGCCGAUAUCGGAUUAGCUAGUAGGUGAGGUAAAGGCUCACCUAGGCGACGAUCCGUAGCUGGUCUGAGAGGACGACCAGCCACACUGGAACUGAGACACGGUCCAGACUCCUACGGGAGGCAGCAGUGGGGAAUUUUGGACAAUGGGCGCAAGCCUGAUCCAGCCAUGCCGCGUGAGUGAAGAAGGCCUCGGUUGU